This 885-nucleotide ribosomal RNA is filed under the name uncultured archaeon. RNAcentral's name for it is "bacterial SSU rRNA". It matches the Rfam family "Archaeal small subunit ribosomal RNA", at positions 114 to 997 of the family's 1478-position model. The record is from RNAcentral.
CUUGGGUCCGGCAUAACCCCGGGAAACUGGGGAUAAUUCCGGAUAACGCACAUAUGCUGGAAUGCUUUAUGCGUCAAAUGGAUUCGUCUGCCCAAGGAUGGGUCUGCGGCCUAUCAGGUAGUAGUGGGUGUAAUGUACCUACUAGCCGACGACGGGUACGGGUUGUGAGAGCAAGAGCCCGGAGAUGGAUUCUGAGACAUGAAUCCAGGCCCUACGGGGCGCAGCAGGCGCGAAAACUUUACAAUGCGGGAAACCGUGAUAAGGGGACACCGAGUGCCAGCAUCAUAUGCUGGCUGUCCGGGUGUGUAAAAUACACCUGUUAGCAAGGGCCGGGCAAGACCGGUGCCAGCCGCCGCGGUAACACCGGCGGCCCGAGUGGUGAUCGUGAUUAUUGGGUCUAAAGGGUCCGUAGCCGGUUUGGUCAGUCCUCCGGGAAAUCUGACGGCUUAACCGUUAGGCUUUCGGAGGAUACUGCCAGGCUUGGAACCGGGAGAGGUAAGAGGUACUACAGGGGUAGGAGUGAAAUCUUGUAAUCCCUGUGGGACCACCUGUGGCGAAGGCGUCUUACCAGAACGGGUUCGACGGUGAGGGACGAAAGCUGGGGGCACGAACCGGAUUAGAUACCCGGGUAGUCCCAGCCGUAAACGAUGCUCGCUAGGUGUCAGGCAUGGCGCGACCGUGUCUGGUGCCGUAGGGAAGCCGUGAAGCGAGCCACCUGGGAAGUACGGCCGCAAGGCUGAAACUUAAAGGAAUUGGCGGGGGAGCACAACAACGGGUGGAGCCUGCGGUUUAAUUGGACUCAACGCCGGACAACUCACCGGGGGCGACAGCAAUAUGUAGGUCAAGCUGAAGACUUUGCCUGAAUCGCUGAGAGGAGGUGCAUGG